RNAcentral lists this transfer RNA (96 nucleotides) under Actinomadura litoris. RNAcentral describes it as "Actinomadura sp. NEAU-AAG5 tRNA-Sec". It matches the Rfam family "Selenocysteine transfer RNA". RNAcentral also lists the same sequence under 2 other names. The record is from RNAcentral. Lineage: Bacteria; Bacillati; Actinomycetota; Actinomycetes; Streptosporangiales; Thermomonosporaceae.
GGAGGCGGGAGAGCGCCUGGUGGCCUUCACGAUCUUCAAAAUCGAUGGUCCCGGGGACCCCGGGACGGCGGGUUCGAUUCCCGUACGCCUCCGCCA